UCGCGUGCCUCUCAUCCCUUCGCCGGGCGGCUCACUCCAUAUGCGACCGACCUGGGUGAUGACCGAUGCCGGGCUAGAGCAACGGAUCCAUGACGACCGCGCUGGUUCGGGAAGCGCCUCGCCGAGCGAUGGGGCACAGGGUCAGCUCGAUCUGUUUGGUUACACAACACGGCAGGAUGGAUUGUGGCGGCAACACAUGCAUCCGCCCUUUGAAGUACUAUUGCUAAUCCAAAGAUUGAUUGAGAGUUUAAUCAGCCAUUACUACCAGUCAAUGCGCAGACUGCUGGUUAUUGUAGGUUAUGUACAAGACGAAUUCGAGCACAUAUUGUUGGGUUUCUUACCUUUUUCCAGCUGAAUUUGUCAGUAUCCAAUGGCUAACAGAUGGCCGAGAUGUGAUUAUAUUACUGGAGGGUGUCGAAUUCAGUGGCCAUAUUCUUAUUGUUUCCUGUAGAUCUUGUAUUUGCCAAGAACCUACCUAUGGUGAGAUCAAUCGCUGAUGGUUUCAGUCUGUGCCAUCUUCAUGGCUGAGAACAUGAAAAACCGAGCACUCGAGCUACCUUUGAAGGAGAAGGCUCCGAGCGCGGUUAAGCCAAAAUGGCAAUAUCCAGGUGCAGGUUGGAUUAAGAUGAAUACAGAUGGAUUCACUGAUUCAGUGAACGGUCGUGGAGGUGCGAGGAUCAUUAUCCGGGAUGAUCAAGGGGCGUUCUUACGAGCGAAGUGUGCUAAGUAAGUUGGAGUUACUGACCUGCUAUCCAUUGAGUUACUGGCCUGUCGCGACGCGAUGAUAUUAGCACGCAAUAUGGGACUGCAAAGAGUGAUAGUGGAAACAGAUUCUCAUGAGAUUCAGAGUCUGUGGAGUGCACCCCAGAAAUCGGUGGGUGUUCAUAUCUUAGGUGAGAUGAAGGAAAUAAGUGAUCUUCUACAGGGGUUCGAGCUUCGAUACUCGGGUCGUCAGAUUAACUUGGCGGCCUACCGACUAGCUAAGGAAGCUUUAGUUAUAGAUAUGCAUGCUGUAAUCUUUGAUGUAAUCUCUGGCUGGUUGACUGUAUUUUUCCAGUGAGACAUGCUUGCACCUAUUGAAUAAAGUGCGAG
Long non-coding RNA from Triticum aestivum (bread wheat), 1092 nucleotides. RefSeq lists it as uncharacterized. The transcript has 3 exons. Lineage: Eukaryota; Viridiplantae; Streptophyta; Magnoliopsida; Poales; Poaceae. The record is from RefSeq and is a predicted model, not a curated record.